This 336-nucleotide ribosomal RNA is filed under the name Triticum aestivum (bread wheat). Its description in RNAcentral is "partial small subunit ribosomal RNA". The record is from RNAcentral. Lineage: Eukaryota; Viridiplantae; Streptophyta; Magnoliopsida; Poales; Poaceae.
AUGGUUCUUAUAUAUGGAAAGCCCUCUGUCAGAAGAGGUAAAUUAACAUGGUCUGAUUCUUGUUGGGUAUUUCAAGGUCGAAUUUCUAGCGUGGACAACAUACGCUUAUAUUGCCUGGAGCCGCCAACUUUGAAGGCAGAUGGAAAUAAUCACGAGGCUUUCUUCUUUUUACGUUUCCUGCCGCAAGCUAUCUGCAGCAGGGUUCCUUGUAAAAUAUAUGCAAUGUGUCUUGUCUUCUGCGGAUCACAAUAUAUCUGUUUUUUUAGCAGUAGUUUUUGUAUUGUAUUGUCAAGCCUUUUGUGGACCUUAUCUAAUGGCCAGAACUUUAGUCUCUAG